This 109-nucleotide ribosomal RNA is filed under the name Salvator merianae (Argentine black and white tegu). The record is from RNAcentral. Lineage: Eukaryota; Metazoa; Chordata; Lepidosauria; Squamata; Teiidae.
CCUCAGCAAUUAUCCUGCUCAAUCUUGUCUAGUCUCAAAAGUUAAGCAGUGUUAAGCUUUGUUAAUACUUGGAUGGGAUGCUGCCUGGGAAUGCCAGGUGCCAUAGGGU